Molecule: long non-coding RNA, 187 nt
Organism: Mastomys coucha (southern multimammate mouse)
Lineage: Eukaryota; Metazoa; Chordata; Mammalia; Rodentia; Muridae
Exons: 3
Source: RefSeq, a predicted model, not a curated record
CGGUGUCCUCCAAGCUUCGAGACAAAACAAAUGCUUCCUUAACUCACCUUUUGUCAGGAAACAUGGCUUCUCCUCUAGAAUCAAGCCAAAGUUGCUUGCUCUCUCUCCUCUGCAUCCUGAAGAUGCUGCUCUCAAGGUUGUGCCACUAAGGGAGAGAGGGUGAAGAGGACAUACAGAGCAAUCAGGG